AACCUUCUGUAUCCGUGCUGAGAUUUCGUCAACGAUCAAUGGCACUGGCUGAUGCAACUUCCCAAAUAAGUGAAGUG
RNAcentral lists this microRNA precursor (77 nucleotides) under Trichobilharzia regenti. RNAcentral's name for it is "mir-3492 microRNA precursor family". It matches the Rfam family "mir-3492 microRNA precursor family". Lineage: Eukaryota; Metazoa; Platyhelminthes; Trematoda; Strigeidida; Schistosomatidae. The record is from Rfam by way of RNAcentral.